CAGUAACCCCCAUGUCCACACCGACAGCUGCAUUAAACUCUUUGACAAAGCAGUUAGUUACUUUGAUCAGAAUAAUCCAUUUGCCCUAUCUCAGGGACCUUUCACCUGAAGCUUUUUCUGAACAGGGGAGAGGGGCGGGUAGACCCAUUUGUUUGGAUGAGAGCUGUCCAUUUCUCCUAUCCCAGGCAAGCUUGCCCUGUCUCCUUCCUGUCAGCCUUUGUUAGCCUUGACCCUUUAAUCAUUUGGGAUGCUCCUAGAGACAUUAGGAUUUUAGUCUGUCCUUGAGAAAACACUGGACCCUUCCUGCUUCCCAUUUUCAUGAUGAAGGAGAAACUCUUCUACAGGAGCCAAUUUGAUGAGACGAAUUCCAGAAUUCGAGCAGUUAAAUGAGAAAUCACAUUUGCCACCUGGUCUGGAGUGGGUGAGUGAUGGGAGACCCUUCUGUGUAUACGUUUGUCUUAUUAGUUGAUGAAUAAAGCACUGUUGGCCACUAGGAAAGCAUGAUAGGUGGGACUAAGAGUCGAGGCGGUUUCUGGGAAAUGUAUUAGAGGAGAGUCGCCAUGUGAGCCUGGGAAGACAAGACACUUGCUGCCGGUGUCCUCAAUAAGGGCCAGGGGAGACCGUUGGUGAAGUGACUGGCACACAAGCAAGAAGACCUGACAACCCACAUAAACACCCAGGAGUGUGAGGUGGCAUGCUUGUAGCCCAACUGCUGGGGUAAGGACAGGUAGGUCCCUGUCCCACCUAGCCUGUUCAGUGAGCUUCAGGCCAGUGAGACACUGUCUCCAGAAGGAGGUCCUUUGUGAAUGAAGGUUUAGGAGUUUGGGAUUUCUGAAAUACAGGAUCAGUGAUAAAGAAGAGAGCUCACUGAAUGAGGAUUAAGUACCAGCAAAAUGUGAAAUGCUAAGUUCAACAAAAUAUGAAAUGUUAAGUUAGAAAACAGAAGACCAAAGUUUCAAAUGGCAUUGAUCUUCCGAAUGUCUGCCAUAUGGAUUCUCUGUGUUGUGGGGCAUCUUAAAACACACCCAGCAGUAAUGAUGGAAGAGGAAAUAAGAUGAAAUCCCCUAUGGACAAAGGAGUCACUAACAUGAUGUCAUCAUUUGGAUGUUGGCUGUCUUCCAAAGUUCUGUUUCCCAAUCUGCAACCACUGGGAGGUACAUGGAAUACAUCAGGCCACAGUGACUAGGAGCAGUUCUGAGAUCCAUUACUGACUAAUCAACUGAAUUGUUUUCAACUUAAUUAUAAUUUCUUUGUUGACAUAAAUCACAUUUCAUAGGUUACUUACUCCUUACACAGAUCUAUGUUUGAAUAUCAAUAAAAGUUGAUUAACAAGGUGUCAGUUGAAGCCUUUUAUAACUCAAGUGCUUGUAGAAGAAUUAUCUUGCCUGUUUAGGAAGC
This 1398-nucleotide long non-coding RNA is filed under the name Cricetulus griseus (Chinese hamster). Its description in RNAcentral is "lncRNA (ENSCGRG00015035766.1)". The record is from RNAcentral. Lineage: Eukaryota; Metazoa; Chordata; Mammalia; Rodentia; Cricetidae.